Non-coding RNA from Vicia faba (fava bean), 288 nucleotides. The record is from the annotation of a GenBank genome assembly. Lineage: Eukaryota; Viridiplantae; Streptophyta; Magnoliopsida; Fabales; Fabaceae.
AUGUUUUUAGAUAACACAUGCGGGGUUUCUAAACUCGCCCACACAGUUCCUAGCAGCAACAACAUCCAACGUAGAUAUCUUAUAAUACUUAUGAUAUAUAAAUUAUUACAAGCAUGGCAGAUAUGCAGAGCUUUCUCAAAGUUUAAAGGAUUUAGUGCACGAGAAACAGUCAGCUUUCUAGAUUGUUUUUUUAUGAGAGCUUCGGAUGAUUAUUUCCCGCGUGAUAUUGCUUCUCACAUGAUCCAUAUUUCUUCUAUUGCAUACAAUUCCUUGUUGAAACCGGAUUGA